Molecule: unclassified non-coding RNA, 425 nt
Filed under: soil metagenome
Description: partial contains 5.8S ribosomal RNA, internal transcribed spacer 2, and large subunit ribosomal RNA
Rfam family: 5.8S ribosomal RNA (bases 1-120)
Source: RNAcentral
GAUGAAGAACGUAGCGAAAUGCGAUAAGUAGUGUGAAUUGCAGAAUUCCGUGAAUCAUCGAAUCUUUGAACGCACAUUGCGCCUUCUGGUAUUCCGGAAGGCAUGCCUGUUCGAGAGUCAUUAACAACCGUUUCGAUCCCUUUCUUUCAGAAAUUACAAAGAGGAAAAGGGUUUGGUUAUGGUGGAGGAGGGAAAGGGAGCGUUUAGCCUGUAAAAAAAGAGGCUGUGUUCCGCCUCCCCCCCAAAAUUGUAAAGGCGGUCGUGUGCGCCCACGCAUCGAGGUGUUGUAAAAGGUGCCACGGCACUUUUCACCUGUGCAGUGCGAGAUUGGCCAGCCGGUUUAAAAACCCCUCCAAACAAUCAAAGGUUGACCUCGGAUCAGGUAGGGAUACCCGCUGAACUUAAGCAUAUCAAUAAGCGGAGGA